Nothoprocta perdicaria is the source of this 222-nucleotide long non-coding RNA. RefSeq lists it as uncharacterized. The record is from RefSeq and is a predicted model, not a curated record. Lineage: Eukaryota; Metazoa; Chordata; Aves; Tinamiformes; Tinamidae. The transcript is spliced from 3 exons.
UAUGCGCAGGAACGGUGUGUAAAUCCCACGCUGACACUCAGCCUCGCAGCCCCAGGUUAACGGUGUAUGUUCCUGGAGAAGUGUACCAGGGCUUUCUGCAAAGUUUUCCCUCAUGCUCUUUGAUCUACUGAGGCAGUUUCUAACAAAGCUGGCCGCAGGAGAGCCAAUGCAGCUCCGUCCUGUCACUUGGAGACAGAAAGUAGAAGUUUUGCCAAUUCUCUG